Molecule: non-coding RNA, 73 nt
Organism: Sus scrofa (pig)
Lineage: Eukaryota; Metazoa; Chordata; Mammalia; Artiodactyla; Suidae
Source: Rfam
UUCCUGGUGGCCUAGAGGUUAAGGACUUGGCAUUGCCACUGCUGUGGCUCAGGUUCGAUCCCUGGCCUGGGAA